AGAGUUUGAUCAUGGCUCAGAUUGAACGCUGGCGGCAUGCCUUACACAUGCAAGUCGAACGGUAACAGGUUAAGCUGACGAGUGGCGAACGGGUGAGUAAUGUAUCGGAACGUGCCCAGUCGUGGGGGAUAACUACUCGAAAGAGUGGCUAAUACCGCAUGAGACCUGAGGGUGAAAGCGGGGGAUCGCAAGACCUCGCGCGAUUGGAGCGGCCGAUAUCAGAUUAGCUAGUUGGCGGGGUAAAAGCCCACCAAGGCGACGAUCUGUAGCUGGUCUGAGAGGACGACCAGCCACACUGGGACUGAGACACGGCCCAGACUCCUACGGGAGGCAGCAGUGGGGAAUUUUGGACAAUGGACGAAAGUCUGAUCCAGCCAUGCCGCGUGCGGGAAGAAGGCCUUCGGGUUGUAAACCGCUUUUGUCAGGGAAGAAACGACGUCCUCUAAUACAGGGUGUUAAUGACGGUACCUGAAGAAUAAGCACCGGCUAACUACGUGCCAGCAGCCGCGGUAAUACGUAGGGUGCAAGCGUUAAUCGGAAUUACUGGGCGUAAAGCGUGCGCAGGCGGUUAUGCAAGACAGAUGUGAAAUCCCCGGGCUCAACCUGGGAACUGCAUUUGUGACUGCAUGGCUAGAGUACGGUAGAGGGGGAUGGAAUUCCGCGUGUAGCAGUGAAAUGCGUAGAUAUGCGGAGGAACACCGAUGGCGAAGGCAAUCCCCUGGACCUGUACUGACGCUCAUGCACGAAAGCGUGGGGAGCAAACAGGAUUAGAUACCCUGGUAGUCCACGCCCUAAACGAUGUCAACUGGUUGUUGGGAGGGUUUCUUCUCAGUAACGUAGCUAACGCGUGAAGUUGACCGCCUGGGGAGUACGGCCGCAAGGUUGGAACUCAAAGGAAUUGACGGGGACCCGCACAAGCGGUGGAUGAUGUGGUUUAAUUCGAUGCAACGCGAAAAACCUUACCUACCCUUGACAUGUCUGGAAUCCUGAAGAGAUUUGGGAGUGCUCGAAAGAGAGCCAGAACACAGGUGCUGCAUGGCCGUCGUCAGCUCGUGUCGUGAGAUGUUGGGUUAAGUCCCGCAACGAGCGCAACCCUUGUCAUUAGUUGCUACGAAAGGGCACUCUAAUGAGACUGCCGGUGGCAAACCGGAGGAAGGUGGGGAUGACGUCAGGUCAUCAUGGCCCUUAUGGGUAGGGCUACACACGUCAUACAAUGGCCGGUACAGAGGGCUGCCAACCCGCGAGGGGGAGCCAAUCCCAGAAAACCGGUCGUAGUCCGGAUCGUAGUCUGCAACUCGACUGCGUGAAGUCGGAAUCGCUAGUAAUCGCGGAUCAGCUUGCCGCGGUGAAUACGUUCCCGGGUCUUGUACACACCGCCCGUCACACCAUGGGAGCGGGUUCUGCCAGAAGUAGUUAGCCUAACCGCAAGGGGGGCGAUUACCACGGCAGGGUUCGUGACUGGGGUGAAGUCGUAACAAGGUA
This 1482-nucleotide ribosomal RNA is filed under the name metagenome. RNAcentral's name for it is "bacterial SSU rRNA". It matches the Rfam family "Bacterial small subunit ribosomal RNA". The record is from RNAcentral.